Molecule: small nucleolar RNA, 149 nt
Organism: Capra hircus (goat)
Lineage: Eukaryota; Metazoa; Chordata; Mammalia; Artiodactyla; Bovidae
Gene: SNORA70
Rfam family: Small nucleolar RNA SNORA70
About the family: snoRNA U70 seems to be exclusive to mammals and is a member of the H/ACA class of snoRNA which contain H (ANANNA) and ACA box motifs. H/ACA box snoRNAs are involved in the conversion of uridines to pseudouridines (5-ribosyluracil) a constituent of structural RNAs (transfer, ribosomal, small nuclear, and small nucleolar).
Source: Ensembl
UAGCAUGACAAAAUAGAUUUCCUUUGUCAUGAUAAUAAAGAACAAUACCCCGAGGGCCCAAUGUGCAAUGGUUGCAAACAGCAGCCUCCUCAGUAAUGUAUACAGUCUGUUGCCUGUAUAGGUUGCCCUAAGGGACCUUGGAGACAACU